Molecule: small RNA, 501 nt
Filed under: Pan troglodytes (chimpanzee)
Lineage: Eukaryota; Metazoa; Chordata; Mammalia; Primates; Hominidae
Description: retained intron
Source: RNAcentral
CCUUGCUGCGCCGGUACAACAUCCCGCACGGGCCUGUAGUAGGAUCAACUCGUAGGCUUUACGAGAAGAAGAUCUUCGAGUACGAGACCCAGAGGCGGCGGCUCUCGCCCCCCAGCUCGUCCGCCGCCUCCUCUUAUAGCUUCUCUGACUUGAAUUCUACUAGAGGGGAUGCAGAUAUGUAUGAUCUUCCCAAGAAAGAGGACGCUUUACUCUACCAGAGCAAGGGCUACAAUGACGACUACUAUGAAGAGAGCUACUUCACCACCAGGACUUAUGGGGAGCCCGAGUCUGCGGGCCCGUCCAGGGCUGUCCGCCAGUCAGUGACUUCAUUCCCAGAUGCUGACGCUUUCCAUCGCCAGGUGCGUGAUGACGAUCUUUUGUCUUCUUCUGAAGAGGAGUGCAAGGAUAGGUGCGUAGUGGGGGAGCCCAGGGACGGGCUGGUUCUGGGUCCAGGCUCCUGGCCCACUUGCUCCCCUCUUUUGCCUCAGGGAACGCCCCAUG